AACGAACGCUGGCGGCAUGCCUAACACAUGCAAGUCGAACGAGACCUUCGGGUCUAGUGGCGCACGGGUGCGUAACGCGUGGGAACCUGCCCUUAGGUUCGGAAUAACGCCCCGAAAGGGGUGCUAAUACCGGAUAAUGUCUUCGGACCAAAGAUUUAUCGCCGUUGGAUGGGCCCGCGUUGGAUUAGCUAGUUGGUAGGGUAAAAGCCUACCAAGGCUACGAGCCAUAGCUGGUCUGAGAGGAUGAUCAGCCACACUGGGACUGAGACACGGUCCAGACUCCUACGGGAGGCAGCAGUGGGGAAUAUUGGAAAAUGGGCGAAAGGCUGAUCCAGCAAUGACGCGUGAGUGAUGAAGGCCUUAGGGUUGUAAAGCUCUUUUACCCCGGAUGAUAAUGACAGUACCGGGAGAAUAAGCUCCGGCUAACUCCGUG
RNAcentral lists this ribosomal RNA (433 nucleotides) under uncultured bacterium. RNAcentral describes it as "partial 16S ribosomal RNA". It matches the Rfam family "Bacterial small subunit ribosomal RNA", at positions 29 to 507 of the family's 1533-position model. The record is from RNAcentral.